Long non-coding RNA from Oncorhynchus tshawytscha (Chinook salmon), 388 nucleotides. Lineage: Eukaryota; Metazoa; Chordata; Actinopteri; Salmoniformes; Salmonidae. The record is from Ensembl.
AUUAAGUCUUCAGUAAAAGGCUUGAAGGAAGGCGAAUUUCUGUGGAGUUUGAGUUCUGUGGAAAUCUAUUUAUUUUCCUGGGCAAGGAAGUCCUAUGAGUGUCAUCUGAUGAAGAUAAUUCAAGGCUACGUACAAGAUCUGGUUGAUUUGUAGUUCAGCAAUGUUGUUGGAACCCCCCUGCCAUAUCAGGAGCUGUUACAGAAGGCUGAGGCAGUGGCCAUACACCAGUCCUGCUUGAGAGUAAUGGAGGACACUUGAAUCAGGUUGGUCACAUUUGAUCUGGUCAAUGGUCAAAAUACUAUCUGUCCUGGAAUUCACCUAACCACCAUUGAUAAUGUAAUCAGUGCUCUGUGUAUAUGUGUGUCUUGUACUGUACGUUGUAAGAAAG